RNAcentral lists this ribosomal RNA (240 nucleotides) under uncultured Lactobacillus sp. RNAcentral describes it as "partial 16S ribosomal RNA". It matches the Rfam family "Bacterial small subunit ribosomal RNA", at positions 122 to 354 of the family's 1533-position model. The record is from RNAcentral. Lineage: Bacteria; Bacillati; Bacillota; Bacilli; Lactobacillales; Lactobacillaceae.
UAACCUGCCCAAGAGAUCGGGAUAACACCUGGAAACAGAUGCUAAUACCGGAUAACAACAGAUGAUGCCUAUCAACUGUUUAAAAGAUGGUUCUGCUAUCACUCUUGGAUAGACCUGCGGUGCAUUAGCUAGUUGGUAGGGUAACGGCCUACCAAGGCGAUGAUGCAUAGCCGAGUUGAGAGACUGAUCGGCCACAUUGGGACUGAGACACGGCCCAAACUCCUACGGGAGGCAGCAGAU